ACAAGCACAAAUUGAAAAGUAAACAUAUGUUUAUGCAAACAAAAGAUGACCAAAAGUGGGUGACGUGUGGCAGAGACCGGGGGACGCGAUCGAGCGAACCAGGCGUAUGAAGGGAAAACCUGACCAAGGAAACGUACGGUCGUGCAGAUAAAAAAAUAGUACCACCUCGGAUAGUUUAAUUUUUUUUAAAAAAAAUAUGUGUGAACGGACCAAAAAAUCAGAGAAAUGCACCAUACUUAUACGUGCGAACGGACCAAAAACCUCUCGAGAAAAAUUUUGGCCUCCAACUUGAUGCGAGCGAAUAUUAUCAAAGGGAGGGCACUAGUUUGCUUGAAAACCCUCACGUUGCAUUCGUUCCAAAUUGCCAUUGACACGAGCAUGAUAAGCGACGACAUGGCCUUCCUCCUACUCCCAUGGGCGAGGGAAAGAUGCUCCCACCAAGAUUGAACAUCACUGAAAGUUGCCCACUCUGAAGGGUUGAAGUCAUCGAUACCGAGCCAAUCCUUAAUCAUUCCCCAAAUGUGAAUGGAGUAGCGGCAAGUGAAGAGGAGGUGGUGCGUUGUCUCGUCCUCGCAACGGCAAAGGGGGCAAAGGCGACCAUAGGCCACCCUCUACGUUCAAGGUGGUCAGUUGUCCAAACACGGUUUUGGAUGAUGAGCCAAGCAGAGAGUUUGUAUUUGGAAGGAUCCCAAUUCUUCCAAACCAAAGCGUCCAUCGAAAAAAAAUAAACUGUUUUUUUAAUGAUGACAUCAUUGAAAAAAUUAGUUUAUUUUUUGAACUAAAUAGGGUAGAUGGUACCCUAAUAAUGACCCACUUGUAACUCUAAUUGCACAAGAUCAAUCGACCUGGGGCUUCUCAUCCUUGUUGUGGUGAGUGUGCUGCUGCUCCAACCUAAUUAAGAGCAUGUUUGGUUCACAUGAUUUGUACAAACAUAGUGAUACGAAAAACACAUGAAUAUAAUAAGAAUAUAUGAACAAAAUGAAGGAUUUAGAAACACAGAAAUUCUGAAGGAAUAUGGUCAAGCAAAGUCAUACGGCAUGAGAAAAUAUAAUCAAAGUCGUAUUUGGAAUUAAUUUGAUAUUUAGGACAAGAGUUUGGGUCUCAUUUUUGGUUUGAUUUAGAUUUGCCAUUUUAUUUCAUUUUUGUUUCUCUCAAAACUUUACAUUUAGGAGUUGGCCUCUAUAUAUACAUACACGCACAUGCAUUGGCUGUAGCUAUGCAAGUCACAUGCACGUACACGUCAGCUUGGUCAUGUAGGUAACUAGUACAUGUACCAAUUGCUUCUUUUCCUCUUGUCUUUCUUCUUUGGAAAAAGUCCAAAAUAAACCUUGAAGUUGUAGACAAAAGUUAAAUCAAACCCUGAACUUUGAAUCCUGGAAUUAGCACUCUGAACUUGUAAUCCCGGUCUAUUUUGGACUCUAGACCUGUUUGGCACGCUGGGAAGACUACAAUCCCGGCCGGGAUUCCAGCUACUCUCACGGACUAGAGAUUGGGCCGGCCCACUAUAACACAACAAGAAUUUGUGAGGUUUAAAAAAUGUUUGCACAUUUCUAAAUUGUUCAAAAGUUAAAAGUGUUUCUGUUUUAUAUUUUUCGCACAAAUUCAAUUCGUUUUGUGUUUUUAAAAACUGUUUGGAAUUUCGUGUUUCACACAAAAUCAACUCUAUUAGCAUUUUAAAAAACUGUUCGCGAUUCCAAAGAAAUCACAUUUAUCAAAAAAUGUACAGAAUUCCAAUAGUUUUUCACAUGCUAUGCGUAUUUUCAAUAUUACAUAUUUAUUUAUGAAAUCUUUGAACAUUUUAUAAAGUGCAAGAACUUUUUGAAAAUUUUGAAUACUUCUAAAAAACCAACAACUUUGAAAUAGCGAACACCUUUAUAAACAUUUCUUGAAACCUGAACAAAAUUUAAAGUGCAAACACUUUUUGAAACAUAAAUUUUUUUCUGCAACCUGAACAAAAUUUUAAAGUGCGGACACGUUUUGAUACAUAAACAUUUUACGAAACCUGAAAAUAUUUUGUGACAUCUAAAAAAUAUGUACGAACCAAUCCAAAUGUUAAUACAAUGUAUAAUAAUAUUUGUGUGAUUCAAACAAAUGUUUUAUACAUUCAAAAAAAUGUAACAUUUCAAGAAUGAUCACGAGUUCCAAAAAAUGUGUUUGUGACAUUUUUAAAAGAAUGUGUUAACAAGUGUAAACAAAUAUUUGUGAGAUGUAAAAAAAUGUGUCAUAACCUUAAAAGAAUAUAUGUGGCAUGUCCUUGAAAAAAGUGUGGGCAAAUUUAAAAAUGUUGAACCACGUAAAAGAGUGUUGUGUAGUUUUAUAAAAUAUUUAUUGUCAUUAAGAAAAUGUAAAACAUGUAGUUGAAAAAAUAUUACCAUGUAUUCAAAAAGUUUUUAAAACAUGUAAUUUAUAAAUGUACAUAAUAUAUUUGAAAAUAUCAAAAGUUUAUCCAAAAAUAUUUAAUGUGUGCGUUAAAAAUGUACAUUGGGUACUGAGAUUCAAAGAUCAUACUUAGCAAGGACUCUUCUAACGUGGGAAUUUCUUUCUUUGUGUUCCACCGGAUGGGGCCCACCAGAUCAGAUCAAGCUACGGUGGAACGCAAUAUAUUAAGAGUAUUAGGUAUAGUCCAAUUUGUAAAGGUUGCAUGCCAAAGUAAGGCACGUAAUCUACUAGGAGUCCAGGUUGAGUUUUGUUUUACUACUAGGAUUGGUUGUUUAUUUUUCAGAUUAGACGCAGGUCGGCUAUGUACUAUAAAUAGCCAGCGUGGUGCAUCGUUGUACGCAGGUUAUUUUGAGAUGAAUUAGACAUUGUGUGUGUUUUGGCCGCCAUUAUCGAGAUUAGAGAAUUCUUGUCAACAAUCUCUACUAGCGUGUGAGUUCCUGCGACGCGUAGGAGAUUACAAAUUGAGCCUAUACGGUUCGUUCAUGUUAUUCCUUCGGAUUGAGGGGUUGACGUGUUGUUUCCGCGGGAUUCACGAGCAUCUUCGUAAACCUGUAGCGAGUUCUUGCUGUGAUGGAUUUUUGUGCCAUGAAAGAUCGGGCCAACAACGGACCGACCCUCGUCACGAGGUUCGCUCCACAUCAGGAGCUACUCGCCACAUGCAUGAUGGCAGACGAGCAGGAGGCGCUGCUCGAGUCCGCUAGGACCGCUGGUGCUAGCGCCAAUAUCAGGAGGAUUUACAGGCCCGACCCCGUCGACGGCGACGAGGUUGGCAGCUUCGUGACGGUUGUUGCACGGCGCAACAGCGACGACACUGGCACGUCUACGGGAGCCGCCGACAGCAAGAAAGAGUAGUGCGCAGGUCCCAAGAAGGCCUCCGAUCCUUCCCUCCCGUUGAGACUAAGCUUGGCGACCUGUUCAUCGCUGGUCGAUUAGCCACUCAAGUUGUGGAGGCAGAGUUGGAGACCGCCGAAACGGAGUUGGAGACUGCGAAUGUGACCGGUCGUGCUUCACUUUGCGUCGCUCACGACAGGACAUGGGGUACAGGCGCAGACAAUCAUUUAGAUUAGGUUUAGAGUAGGGCUUAAUAAUAUAAUUAAUGUCGUCUGGUCUGCAUGAAAACCAACCGAUUGGGAUGAAAUUUAUCCGGUUUAUUCAAAUGUGGCUUGAAAUACAUGCGGGUAGCGUUGGACGACCGGCUCCCUGCAUCCGUGUUCACGGAGUGAUCCCCACCGAUCCGUGGACGGACGUGGUGUUCCUUUUUUGCGUGUCAGCAUUGGAGAUGUAAGGUGUUUAUCUAGCGGUGCUUGGGGAUUUAAUGUUGGUUCGGUAAUGGCGUUGCGCCUCCUUCCACCUCCUCCACUACGGUUUCGAGGCGCGCCACACCGAACCCGACCCGUGCCAGGUGACAGGGAAAAUGGACCUCGUCACCCGCCGCAGCUUUCUCCUCCCCACAGCAAGCACGGGCAUUGACGACGUGUACUCUAUGGUCAAGCAGGAGUGCAGGACCAGCUGAUUCGCCGCUGCUCGCCUGAGAAUGGCGCCAUGCCGGUAUACUAGCACUGCGGCUGCCCGAAGAUCCGGAACAAACAUCGCCGCCCAACUUGAGUAGUGGCAUGAGUCGUACGCUGUCUUCAUAGGUGCUAUUGCUAACGAGCAAAUGGCGCCACACACCAUGCAUCCUCAUGCGUCAAGCCGGCAAUCCUGCCAAUGAGCACCCGACCUGAAUGGGUAGGGUAUGGGUGGUCGACUUGGCCCAUGGGUCUUACCCAUGGGUAACCUGAUUAGUCGUGGGUAGGGUAUGAGCAUAGAAUCAUGCCCAUGGGUUACCCACUCUUGAGGUGUGGGUAACAAAUUGUGUUCAUACUUUGAAAAGUGUAUCAUCAUUCUUGCGCUAAUUGAGGUGUGGAUGUACUCACUCUUUUUUUUUUUUGAGCAUGUGGACGUACUCACUCUAAUUGAGGUGCAUUUGCGUUUAUUGGGGUAGCUUCGUACUGAUGGGUCAUAUUAUAGGAACAUUAUCAUUUUCAAUCACUUUCCUUGAGUUUAUGUUUGAUUAACGGUUUGAUGAUAGCAUGCAUGCAUAAACGCAAUGAAUGGAUGGAACAUGGCAUGAAAUGCCCAUGCAUGAUGCAUGCAGCUGCGCGGCUAUUUGCAUGAAAGCGACGACCGACCCAUCUGGACGUGGACAAGUGAAGACGGAUGGACGGGCGUACCGUGUUGUGCAUGCAUUGGCCUCAGCUGUAAACUUGCUGCUUUCUUCUUCUUUUUUGCGAGGAAAACUUGCUGCUUUCUCUUUUUUUUUGCGAGGAAAACUUGCUGCUUUCUAGCUAGCCAGCCACCCAACCCCCCUUAUUGCAAGUGGCCAUACGCCAAAACAGGCAAACUCCACCUGCUCCAACCAGUACCAUUAGUAGUUUCACACUGCGAAGCACAUGUUGGACCGCGUUUUGCUAACUCAAUUCUUUUUUCUGGCUGUUGGAUGAGGAGUUUUUCACACCGUCGAUCCUCCGGCUAGGCUAGGAGAAGCGUUUGUGUGCUACAUUAGCAUUCUGCACGCGGAGUGGACCACUCCUGCUAUCACCCAGUCUGCUACACCAACCACCCCCGAACCGCCGGAUCUAUUGAUUUCUGAGCACAAAUAGCGGGCCGGGGGAACCCUCUACUGCAAAUAAGCAAAACUGAGCAGAGACCUAUUGAUUUCCCUAUCUGAAAGAGGACUGUCUUUCCUUAGUGUUAGACUGUAUAUACGUAGCCUCUGUAUUGUAACGUUGUAUUGUACCCCUUGGGUACCUCUAUAUAAUGAGAUAGCCACACCCUGGUUAGGGGUGUCGUGCAGUUCCCAAAAUAUCUUGUUUUACAUGGUAUCAGUUUAGGUCACGAUCACGAUGUCUUCCGCUGCUCCCGCCGCCGCCGCCGUCGCGCCGACCUCCGUCGCCGCGGCCGCCGCCGAGCCGGUCCUUGCCCCUUCUUCGCCGUUCCUCGCCUCUGGGCCUCUCGUGGCGGCCUAUGGGGCCCCGCCGCCGCCUGGGUCCCCGAUCCAAUCUCGCCCGCAUGGCGAGACCUCGGGUGACCUAGCCCCAGUCGCGGCCGAUGCCGCCGCGCCGCCGCUCUACGGCGCCGCCCCGCCGCCGGCCUAUGGCGCUACCGCGCCCUCGCCCUACGGCUACUACCCGUAUGGCGCGCCUCCGAUGGCUCCUGGUGCUCCGCCGCUGCCGCCAUCCUCGUGGCCGGCGUUUGGUGCGCCGCCUCUACAUCAACCACCGGCGGCGCCACCGAGCCACCCCAAUGGAUCUUCGCCGUUGCCUCCCCAGUACCCCUACGCAGCCUACCCAGGGCCGCACGGGGCUGCGGCCUCUUACGCAGGAGAGGCGGCUGCCUCGCUACAGCCAUCGUACGGGGCUGCGGCCGCGCCACAGCCGCAUCCUCCCGGGGCCGCGGUCGUCCCGCCCUACGGGGCCCACGCUGCUGGUCCUCCCGGGUUUUCCGCACUGUAUCCGGUGUCUGCUGCUCAUACCGACCCGGUCGCCGCGUCAUCACCGUUCUACUUUUCAUAUCUGCUACCGGUGAAGCUUGCGCCGGAUAAUUACUUGUCCUGGCGUGCCCAGGUGUUGCCUCUUCUGCGGAGCCGCUACUUGGAGGGAUAUGUUGACGGGUCCAUACCGUGUCCACCACCCCACCACCCAGCGUACCACACCUGGGUGGCCCAGGAUCAGGCCAUCCUCUCCGCCAUCCAGUCCUCGCUCACCCCGAGCGUCUCGUCGCUGGUCAUCUUCGCCGCUACAUCCCGGGAGGCGUGGGCGGCGCUUCACACCAGUUUUGCCUCUCAGUCUCAGGCGCGUGCUCACUCUAUCCGCACCGAGUUGGGUGAGACAAAGCUUGGUGACCUCAGCAUCACCGACUACUUCAACAAGAUGCGGGGUCUCGCAGACACAUUGGCCUCCAUCGGCCAGUCGCUACAGGAUCAGGAGUUCACCACCUUCGUACUGAAUGGGCUUGAUGAUGAUUAUGAAAAUCUCAUUGAGAACGUUCACGGUCGCGAUGACCCGCUACCACCUCGUGAGCUCUACGCCCGUCUGCUUGGCCGCGAGCAGCGCAUCAAGGCGCGCCGCUCCUCUCCCAGUUUCGCCUCCGCCAAUACCGCAACUCGCGGCAAGCCUCAGCGGUCAUCUUCGUCCGGAGGCAAACCAGCGCUGCUACUCAGAAUGGUGCUGCUGAGCGUAAGCAUCGUCAUCUUGUUGAAACUGGCUUAACCUUGCUCGCUCAUGCCUCCGUCCCGUUUCGGUUCUGGAGUGAUGCUUUCUCUACAGCUUGUUUUCUUAUAAACAGGCUACCCUCGAGGCUUCUGAAAAUGCAAACUCCGCUUGAGCUCUUGCUUAAUGAGACUCCGGACUACACUUUCUUUAAGGUGUUUGGGUGUGCCUGCUGGCCUCAUCUCCGUCCAUACAACAAGCGCAAGCUAGCGUUCAGGUCUAAGAAGUGUGUCUUUCUUGGGUACAGUUCUAUUCACAAAGGGUACAAGUGCUUACAUGUUCCUACCAACCGCGUCUACAUCUCUCGUGACGUUGUGUUUGAUGAAAAUGUGUUUCCCUUUCGUGCACUUCCGACAGACCUCACCACUUCCACUUCCACACCACCAAUGCCUGUGUCUACACCUACGCCUGAUCAGUUUGUGGAUGUUGCAUAUGCCCCUGCGUUGCUUCCUAAUCAUGCUGCAGGUAUUGGACGCGGUGCUCGGCUCGAGCUCCUUGAUGAACAGGUCGCCGAUGAUUCUUCUGGUCGGGACGUGCAUGUGCCAUGCAUAACGGGUGGCACCCGCCAACCCGUUCUCUGGUCGCCCGAGGCGGCUGGCCCGCCUGGCUCACCCACGCCAGCGCCAGCGGCGGGUGCCUCGUCCGCCUCGUCCGACUCGCAGGACCCGGCCACCCCAGUAGCCGCCUCGCCCGGCUCGCAGGCUUCGCCAGUGGCCAUCUCGCCCGACCCGCGAGCCUCGUCCACACCAGCGGGACCCUCGCUCGGCUCGCCUGGCUCGCGGGCGUCACCAGCCUUGCGUGGCUCGCCUGGGCCACUGGCGGGGGCGUCCCCUGGGCCGGCUGGUGCUGUCGCUAGCCCAGCGGCCUCGUCGCCUGCCUCGGCCACCGGGGAGCCUGACUCGCCGGACUCGGCUUUGGCCUCGUCCAUGAUCUCUGCUGAUUCUGCUCCAGCUCCGGCUCCGGCAGAUUCUGCCGUCACACUUCGACCGCGCACACGGAGCCAGUCUGGUGUGUUUCGCCCGAAAGAGCGGACAGAUGGCACGGUUGCAUGGCUUGCUGCGUGCAUGGCUCAUACUGCUGGCGACCCUCAUGCAGAGCCUCGUCAUUUUCAGGCUGCGUUGAGUAUUCCUCAUUGGCGUGCUGCAAUGGAACAAGAGUUUUAUGCCCUCCAACAGAAUGAUACUUGGCGUCUUGUUCCUCCAAAGUCUGGCGUCAACAUCAUUGAUUCCAAGUGGGUUUUCAAGGUCAAGCGCCAUGCUGAUGGUUCCAUUGAACGUUACAAGGCACGGUUAGUCGCCAAGGGCUUCAAACAGAGGUAUGGUCUUGAUUAUGAAGACACGUUCAGUCCAGUUAUCAAGCCUACUACCAUUCGGUUACUACUGUCUCUUGCGAUUACUUGUGGAUGGUUCCUUCGUCAGCUUGAUGUACAGAAUGCCUUUCUCCAUGGCAUUCUGGAGGAGGAGGUUUAUAUGCGUCAGCCGCCUGGUUUUGUUGAUCCGACACGACCUCAUCAUCUCUGUCAUCUGGUCAAGGCGCUGUAUGGACUGAAACAGGCUCCUCGUGCAUGGCAUGCUCGCCUUGGAUCCGUUCUUCAGGCUCUUGGGUUUACUCCAUCCACUGCUGAUACAUCACUGUUCCUCCUCCAGCGCCCUGAGGUUACGAUGUAUAUCCUGGUUUAUGUUGAUGAUAUCAUCCUUGUCAGUUCUUCGGCUGCUGCAGCUGAUCGCCUUGUGGUUGCUCUUCGUGAUGAUUUUGCUGUCAAGGAUUUGGGUGCUCUUCACUUUUUCCUUGGUCUUGAGGUUUCACGGUCCUCUGCAGGUUUGACUCUCACUCAGAAGAAGUACUCCUUGGACUUGUUGCGUCGUGCUGGAAUGCUCAAAUGCAAACCUGUUCUCACUCCGAUGUCUGCUACUGGUCGGUUGUCUGCUCUUGAUGGUGACUCUCUCUCGGCUGAUGAUGCUACUGAGUAUCGCAGUAUUGUUGGUGGUCUGCAAUAUCUCACUAUCACCAGGCCUGAUAUCUCCUAUGCAGUUAACCGUGUCUGUCAGUUUUUGCAUGCACCCAGGACGUCUCACUGGUCAGCCAUCAAGCGUAUUUUGCGCUAUGUCAGUAGUACUGCUGCCUAUGGUCUGCAUCUUCAGCCUGCACCGUCAUAUGAGCUCUCGGCCUUCUCUGAUGCCGACUGGGCUGGUUGUCCGGAUGACAGGCGAUCCACGGGGGGUUAUGCGGUAUUUCUGGGUCCUAACUUGAUCGCCUGGAAUGCUCGCAAGCAAGCAACUGUGUCUCGCAGCAGUACUGAGGCUGAAUACAAAGCCGUUGCUGAUGCAACUGCUGAGAUCAUAUGGGUACAGUCUCUGUUGAGAGAGUUGCGUGUUCCUCAAGCUCGUCCUCCAGUUCUGUGGUGUGACAACAUUGGUGCUACAUAUCUUUCUUCUAAUCCAGUGUUUCAUGCAAGAACAAAACACAUUGAGGUGGAUUAUCACUUUGUUCGGGAACGUGUUGCACAGAAGCUACUCUGUAUCAAGUUCAUCUCAUCAAAGGAUCAACUUGCUGACAUCUUCACGAAGCCUCUACCACAACCACAGUUUGUAGGCUGUAGGCGCAAUCUUAACUUGCUUUGUACUUCAGGACAUAGUUAAGAUUGAGGGAGGGUGUUAGACUGUAUAUACGUAGCCUCUGUAUUGUAACGUUGUAUUGUACCCCUUGGGUACCUCUAUAUAAUGAGAUAGCCACACCCUGAUUAGGGGUGUCGUGCAGUUCCCAAAAUAUCUUGUUUUACACUUAGAUAUAUAGUUAAGGUCAUUUCUUCUCCUGCCUACAUGCCGCAGCCACCCGAUUUACGUAACCAUUAGAACACCCCUUCCAUCUUGGAAGAAUCUGGACAUACUUUGCAUCCUAUCAUACUGGUUUUACAAGUUACAUACUUACAUCCCAUGUUUCUAUCUUAACACCAGUAUCUAUCUAUCAUCCUAUAUUUCCUAACCAUUGACUUGUGUCACGUAGGUGCGUAACAAAAUUUUUGCUGCUUACUCAUAAAAAUUCUCCGUUAGCGAAAAUCGGGAAAUUUGAUUUGCAUCAUGCAUAAUAGACCACCGACAGGUAAUUAACUUGAAAUAAUACUUAAAAAGCUUGGAAAGUAGUCUGCACGAGUGGAGCCAAAGGUUAUAAGCAACACAACACAAUAAAGAUUAUUGGAGUCCAAAAGAAAACACAAAAUUGUACACGUUUGGUAAUAAUGUUGCAUAUUAUUUUCUCCGUUCGGAAUUACUUGUCCACAAAAUGAAUGUAUCUAGAUGUAUUUUAGUAUGACCCAAUUUAACUAAAAGACCGUUUUAGUAUGACCCAAUUUUCUAGUGGCUUGAAUUAUACUCCUACUUUACACUUACAAAGAUAAAGAAAGACUCCCCUACGCUCACAUCCAUGACUCUGGUUUUGAUUUCAGCGCAGGAGAAAUGGGAGGAUGGCUGAACCAGAUGACGCAGUUCAUGGAUUUAUGGAUGAUCCGGAUAGCAGUUCUUUCAAGCUUCGCUGCGCACCUUGUACUCAUCCUCCUUGCCGGGAUCCGUCGGCAUAAAGCUUCGGGCGGGAGAGUGCUUGUUCUGUGGCUGGCGUACCAGCUGGUCAACUGGGCCGCGGCAACCUGUCCUUCGGCAGCAGGUCGCAGCAGCAUCCGCAGCUGGUGGCGUUCUGGGCGCCCUUCCUCCUGCAGCAUCUGGGCGGCCCGGACAACAUCAGCGGCUACUCCCUCGAGGACAAUGUGUUGUCAGGGAGGCAAGCACUCAAUGUCCUGGUGCAGGUCGGGGGAGCCAUCUAUGUGGUGUACAAGCACAUAUACCUCGGCGGCGGCGACACGGCUUUGUUUCAGGCAUCUAUCAUCAUUCUCGCUGCCGGUGUCGCCAAGUAUGUGGAGAGGGUAUUGGCGCUAUGGAAAGGCAACUUGGGCAAGAUCCGGAACUCAUGCAAGAAGAAGCAACUAAGCAGAUCCACUCAUGUGGAAGAGGGAACUGUGCUGGAUAAUGAGCAAGCCCUGAUGUUUGCCCACGAGAUGUUCCCACUCUGCCAGCGUGCAAUGACUGAUUCUUCUGUCAACAUGGAUUCACCUGACCUUGAUGUAAGCAGAGACAUGUUCUCUUUUGGGUGGGAGAGUAUGUGCAAGGUGCUGGAGAUGGAGCUCUCUCUCAUGUAUGACAUCCUCUACACCAAGGCAGCCAUGGUGCACAGCUGGGGCGGCUACUUGGUCCGGUUUAUUUCGCCGCUCGCCACCGCAGUGGCAUUCGCCUUGGUCGCCUUGGUCGCCUCAGCAUGUGUGUUGCCUUGGAACAGUAGCAUUCGCUUCAUGUUCCUCGUUGCCGCACGCCGGCACAUGCUACCGGGCCUUGUUCUCCUCAGCCUCUACGAAGUAACAUUUGAGGCUCUGCGGGACAAAUGGAAAACCACCGGCAGAGAGGAGAAGUUUGCUAUGAUCAUGCAUGACAAGAGGAAUGAGGACACCGAGUGGGUUUCGGAGGAUGAUAGUAAAACACGCCUUGUCGACGACGGACUUAAUAUUGCCAGGGUGCUGCUCGCCGCCAAUAAGUCGGAGAUGCCGGAACUGUUCCAACGUGUGGGUGGACAAGCUGCUGUAUGCGGGCACCCGAUGCAGCCGGGAAUCCCAUGCCAAGCAGCUUGGCCGUGGCGGUGAGCUCACGACCAUCGUUUGGAUUUUGGCAGAACAUGCUGGCCAGUUUCAGAUCGGUCAGUGCGGGCCAGACCAUAGGCCACGGCUGCGAUGAGGCUAUAAUAAUAUAGUCGAGAUUUUAAAGACACCGUAUGCUGUAAUAUGGCAGUACCACAUAUACAAGUCACCUCCCGAUUUGCUUGUACCACCUUGUGACGAUAUGGUUGAUGAUGUAAUGUAACCAUUCUGUCUAGCUAAUAAUUAAAAUUAAUCCACGUUGGGCUACAAAAGAGAGAAGCCAUGGUGUGUAUUCUAUUCAUGCUCUUCAGGAAUACUACUACGUAUAUAUUUUGUAGCAAGCUUGUCUCUGUAGAGCUUGUUCUCUUUUGCGAUAAAACAAACAAAAGCUUAUGCUGGAUCAGGAGGGAAUAGAAGAACUAAGCUUCCAAAUUAUAAGGCCAUCCAGCUUUCAUGUCUUCCAGCCAACUGAAUGACUGAUGUUUAAAACUAUCAGGACAACGUUUCUAGUACAACAUACACAAGAUGAAAGGGUGAAAAGGAGUACCAUGCUGCAUUCUGUUGUCGUGCUAUGCAUUCUUCGGGCAUCACAUUGCCUAGAUACGACAACCUCGAUAUCUCUACCUCCUGAAGGAGGACGCAAUGAGCCGAACUUGGCUUGGGAUUUACACAAGUGGUUACGAACUUCACUCUAAAGCCCAUCUACAAGAUAUGAGACGAUCGGACACCGACCAUUUACAACAACUAAUCCCUUCGACGUAGCAGCAGUCAGCCCAUCACCGCUGACAGUUUUUUCCCGACUCAUAAGCACACUAUGGACAACGCGCUGCGCCACCAGGCUGCGCGUAAUUUGGAGAGUUAAUUACACAAAACUAUCACAUUGGAAGCUAGGUUUGCAGAAAACCAUCACUCCAUGAUUUCGUAGCAAAAAACAUGUCUAUGGCUAAUAACCUAGCAAACAACACUGAAUGGGCAGCUUAGAUCAUUUUGUUGACUUUUCUGACAUAAGGGCUUGUUGGGUAGGGAGAUGUGGCCUAAAAAGUUGCCCCGUAGGCGUCUCUCUCUCUCUCUCUCUCUCCUGCCCUUAACACCGCUCAUCGCCAUUGCAGGAGCUUAGCUUGCUACCAGUGAGCUCCAGCCGCCGCCCCAAGCUUUUUUUUAGACAAAGAGAGGGGAGAAAUAGAGAUGGAAGAAGAUAUAGUAGACUAGUCAACACGUCCAUGUGGCAAAUAAUUUUGCCAAGAUAGCUCUGAUGACCUGGUCCCACCAGUCAUAAACGCGCUUAAAACACCUAAGCUACCGAUCAGUGUUAUUUGCUAGGUCAUUAGCCAUAGACAUGUAGUCUGGUAAUUUUUUGCACACCUAGCCCUCAGUGUAGCGAUUUUGUGCAAUUAACUCGUAAUUUGGACUCCAUGUCAGAUACUUCAUCUGUGAAAUCCUUUCAGAUUAUAGCAAUAUGAGCAAAUUAAAGUGCAGUGGCCAUACGCCCGAUCAUAACAAAAAGAGGUGGAUGUUCAUAGUUUUUACAUGCACUCGACCAAAAAAGUUUCAGUAGUCCAGCAAUCUAUGCAAAAAAGGUAUUUUUGCCCUCCCAGACCGGUUGUCCAUGCCUCCUCGCUCACUAUAUCGCUGGCUCCUCCGCAUCAGUUGCCUCUUGCUCAGCCGCCAAGUGCUUCAUCAUCCUAACACAGACGGUGUGCCUGGUCAUUGCCGCAUCGCGAUCCAACUCGUCCAUCUUCACGAUUAACAUUUUGGUAUCCUCCAAAGGGGCCGCGAGCUCAACCUCCUCUCUCCGAGCUUGGUUUUCUUCUCUUCGAGGUUGGUUUUAUGAGUCGAACAAAUCAAAGUUUGUGUACAAGGCAUCAUGGCAAACAACAUUCUUGCUAGCUAGUUUGGUCAGUAACAUGUGUAUCUAGGACAACUGCUGAGUCAACACAAUUGUGUUCGAAUAACAUCAAAGCUGCAGAAGUACAUGUGAAGGCUUGAACCAAGAUGCAUUCUAGAACAUGUGGAGUACUUGUGAAAAUGAUAGGAAGAUGUAUUGUACAAUGUGAAGAAUCGAUAAAAGCUUAUGUUGAUGAAUUGUACAUUCUGAUGGCUCAUUAGCUAAAGUUGAAAUCAACAUUUUAAAGCUUAGCCUCCAUUCCAAAAGAGAUGAAUCGAUGAAAUCAACAUUUCAAAGAUUAGUUUCAAAAGCCAAUGAUGUGCAUGCUUGACCAAGUUUUUAGAAAACAAAUAUCAAUAUCUACAAUACCAAAUUUGUAUCAUUAGAUCCAACAUGAAACGUAUUUUCAUAUUUAAUUUAAUUUAUAUUGUGCAUGUUAAUAUUUUAUUAUAUAAUAUUGAUCAAAUAUAAAUAAGUUUGACUUGCAUGAAAAUUGUUGCACCUUAUAGAAUGAAGGGAGUAGUAACAUGAAUGCACUGCUGGAACUAAUUGAAGUUGCAUAUAGUCGAUGAACACAUUAUACAAUCCACACAAAGUGCAAACAAAAUACUGGAGUAUAUGAUAUCAUAUUGACAAACAAUUAAUGUAUGGCAUGGGCUCAAUAUGAUAAAUAAUAUAGUACAAGAUACAACAACUAUCAACCAUACACAUGUACUAUAUGCACCGUUCCUACUGGCAACAAAUGGAAACAAAUAAUAGAACACGGAGGUGGAUCACGAAGAUAUACCCAAUAACUUACACACAUGAUGUAUGAUAAAUAGUAGCAAGUUCUUCCAUGCGUGCAUGAAAUCUAUGGAAAUGAAUGGCAAGCCAACCCCUCCGAUUGUUGUACUAUUUGUCUAUAAAUAGGUAUCAUAAACUCCAUCGUUCAUUCACCCAUGGAGAACAUUCAACAAACUUCUAGUCCCACAUAAAAUUCUGAAAAUAGUAAUUCUCAGAAAUAUGAGACGUCGGGAAAGUUUUACGUUGUGGCACAUGGCUUGACAGAGCUAAUUUUUUUGAAGUCUCGAGGAGAACCUCAAGACGAUGUACUGGAGCUCUUUUUCAAUCAAUGUGACCUGAAAUACGGUGUUGGCGCUAUUAUUUGAUUGGCUCCACUUUACAAAAUAUGCUCCAAUUCUCUAUGAUUUAGAGAAAAUUGGAGGUUAACACGCGCUUCGUUGUGCCAUUCUUUACUCGUGCAAUUGUCUUUCAUCUUUAGCAGGUUACUAUGAUCAGUUUUUUUUCUAUGUUGACUUGGGUGUUAAGUAUGUUCUGGUGAUGUUUUUUUAUCGUAUAUCGUGAUGGGGCGCUGCUAGAGAUGAUACUUAUUAUAAUAGGAGAGUGGGGUUGUCUGGCGUGUGGUUGUGGUGUCCUUACACAUUCUAGCUUUGGUGUGAGCUCUAUUCUAGCUUUGGUGUGGUAGUGGGCCGGCCCAUGAAGCUCCCGCUCGCUACGCUCAACUCGCUCAUUUAGAGAGAAAAAAUCCGCCCCACUUCACUUCUAUAUCUAAUAAAAAGAUGUCUAACUUUUAUUUGAAAAAUUUAUUAAAUCAAAAUAUGUUCAUAUAUUUUUUAAAAUCUUGGAUUUUUAAAGAAAAAGAAAACAUAAAGCCUUAACCAAGGAUACACAGCCUUGCAGGCGGCACCCCAUCGACCCUAGAGCCCGAGGCUCCAAAACUAGGAAGUUUCUAAAAAAUGUUCACAAAUUUAAAUAAAUAUCCAUGAAUUAAAUGUGAAAAAGAUAUAAGAGAAAAGAGAAGAAAACCCCAACGAAGGGCCUCCAACGACCCCACAUCCGUCGACGCACCAUGAACCUCCAAAUCUAGGGAGCAUUGUAUUUUAGUAGAUACUCCCUCUGUCCCAAAAUAUAAAAACGUUUUUAACACUACACUAGUGUUAAAAACGUUCUUAUAUUAUGGGACGAAGGGAGUAGAUCUUACACUAUAUGUAAUGAAAAUGUAAUCCUUGACAAAUGGAAAAUGCAAAAUCCAUACGCCGUAAUGAAAAUCUAGAGUAGGAUUGAAAUCCAUUGGUUGCUUAGAGUCAUGUAGUAUCCACGUCUUUAUGUGAUGGAUAUAUCCCACAAGUAUUAACACUACAUGACCAGCUUUCAGUAUACCAUUGAGUUGAAAUACACGUUGGGUGCUCAGGCUCGCGUAGGAUCAUAGUCUUGUUUCUUAGCACUGAAACAAUAUCCAACAUUUGGCAAUCAUUCUUGCUGCAUUCUUUUGUACGCAUAUUUGAUAGCAGUGCAGUGCUGAAUGCCGAUGCACCCCUCAUCCUUUCUGCCGAGUGACACAUGGUCCAUAGUGAUCCUUCUUUCCCUCUUUCAAAGUUGCCAAAGGUUCGGAAUGGAAGAUUUGCAAAUUAAAAAGUUUCCAAAUGCGUGUGAUGAACACCUACAGCACAUACGGUUCGUCGACCAAAUAUGUGUACGAUGAAUGCCAACAACACACACAUUUCUAAUGCGACGGGCGUGCGAUGAACACUUACGUGCACAUGUUUCAUUGAGGACUAACGUGUGCGGUGAACAACAACAACACACCAGUUUCUACCACGGAACAUGUGCAAUUAACCCCUACCGCACCCACGUUUCGUCCAUGGCAAACAUGGGCGAUUAACCCCUACCACACACAAAUUUCAUUUACGUCACGUGUGUGAUGAUGGAUGCAUCGAAAAGGGUGUGUUGUUGAAGAGCAUGUGUGAUAGGUACCCUUAUCUCACACGCUCAGAUAGGAGAAAACAUGUGCAACAAGAGUAGCACCGCACACAUUUUGCAUAUCCUAAACAUGUGUGAUGGAUGAUGCAUCGCAAAUGGUGUGGUGGAGUGAAGUGUGUGAUAGUUAUGUCAUUGCACAUUCUCAAUCCUUAUGAAUCGUCACAUAGCAAACAUUGCGCCACAGUGCAACUUGUGUGAUAGGCAUGUCAUUCCACACGAUGUCCACGGGGGAGACGUUUGGGAUGUUGGAUGUAUUGCAAACGAAUACAUGAGGGGUCACCUGUGCUGGGAUAACGCAUACGAUUGCUUUUUGCCAAAACGUCUCCAUCCUUGGACCCUACUGAACACGAUUGUCAUGUAUCGUGUGUGAUGGACCCCCCCCCCCCUCCCUAUCGCACACCUUCGCAAGGCGACGGUUCAUGACCACAUUAGCGAAACGGGGUUUUAAGUGUGUGCGAUAGGCUUAACUGCGUUAGUGGAUCUUGCUAGGGAGAUUACGAAUAUCCUUGGUAGGUACAUAGUUUCAUCAUCAUUUGUAGUGUUUACCAGGACAUUGUUUAUACUCUUGAAGUUAUCUCUUGUUAUUUCUGAGUCCUGAGAAUGAAAAAUAACCGCCUUCCCAUAAACUAAGAAAGGUUUAGGUGUAUGUCUGAAAACCAACUACUGUUUAUCAUUGUAACAUUACUGAGGCAAAUACUAGCAUACUUUUGAAGAGUGCUCAAGAAAUAAGGGUGAGAAUAUUGACCGUGUUUGCUUUUCUAAACCACUUCAAGAAAUUGUAUGUUAAUUGCUCAUCAUAUUUCUGAUGAAAGUAUGUAUGUACUAUUUACUUGUGUCUAGCAUCACCAUUUCAGCAUGUACAUAGACAAAUCUGUAUGGGUUAAUUAAUAUCGUCGACUAUGCCAUUUAGCUAGGAAUUAAUGCUUUUAUGUGCAACUACUACGUCGCAUCCCUGCGAUCUGCAAAGGAAACAAUCAUUUUAUCAAUUUAAUACAUACUAUAGAGUAGAACAAAUCGAAGUCUGUGAAUAUGUCAUCAUGGCAAACAACAUUCUUGCUAGCUAGUUUGGUUAGUAGCAUGUGUAUCUAGGACAAUUGCUAAGUCAACACAAUCGUGUUUGAAUAACAUCAAAGUUGUAGAAGUACGUGUGAAGGCCUGAACCAACAUGCAUUCUUGAACAUGUGAAUACUUGUGAAAAUGACAGGAAGAUGUAUUGUACAAUGUGAAGAAACGAUAAAAGCUCCUUUUGAUGAAUUGUACAUUCUGAUAGCUCAUUAGCUAAAGUUGAAAUCAACAUUUCAAAACUUAGCCUCCAUUCCAAAUGAGAUGAAUCAAUAAAAUUGACAUUUCAAAGAUUAGUUUUUUCAAAAGCCAAUGAUGUGCAUGUUUGACCAAGCUUUUGGAAAACAAAUAUCAAUAUCUACAGUACCAAUAUUAAUUUAUUUAAUAUUGGAUAUGUUGAUAUUUUAUUAUAUAAUCUUGGUCAAAUAUAAAUAAGUUUGACUUGCAUGAAAAUUGAUGCACCUUAUAUUCUGGAAUGGAGGGAGUAGUAACAUGAACGCACUACUGGAACUAAUUGAAGUUGCAUGUAGUCGAUGAACACAUUUACAGUCCACACAAAGUGAAAAAAACUAUAUGAAAUCAUCUUUACAAACAAUUAAUGUAUGGCAUGGGCUCAAUAUGAUGAAUAAUAUAGUACAAGAUACAACAACUGUCAACUAUACACAUGUACUAUAUGCACCGUUCCUACUGGCAACAAAUGAAAAUAAAUCAUAAAACACGGAGGAGGAUCACGAAGAUAUACCCAAUAACUUACGCACAUGAUGCACAAUAAAUACUAGCAAGUUCUUCCAUGAAUGCAUGAAAUCUAUGAAAAUGAAUGGCAAGCCAACCCCUCCGGUUGUGCUACUGUUUGUAUAUAAAUAGGCAUCAUAAACUCCAUCGUUCAUUCACUAAUGGAGAACAUUCAAGGAACUUCUAGUCUCGCAUAAAAUUCUUGAAAAUAGUAAUUCUUAGAAAUAUGAGACGUCAGGAAAGUUUUACGUUGUGGCGCAUGGUUUCACAAAGUUAAUUUUUUGGAAGUCUCAGGGAAAACCACAAGGUGAUGUACUGCACCUCUUUUUCAAUCAACGCGACCUGAAAUACGAUGUUGGCGCUAUUAUUUGAUUGGCUCCACCUUACAAAAUAUGGUCCAAUUCUCUAUCAUUUAGAGAAAACUGGAGGUUAACACAUGCUUCGCUGCUCCAUUCUUUACUCGUGGGAUUGUCUUUUAUCUCUAGCAGGUUAUUGUGAUCGGUUGUUUUGUUUUUUUUUCUACGUUGACUUGGGUUUUAAGCAUGUUUUGGUGGUGUUCUUUUAUUUGUAUAUCGUGAUGGGGCGCUGCUAGAGAUGAUACUUAUUCUAAUAGGAGAGUGAGGUUGUUUGGCGUGUGGUUGUGGUGUCCUUACACAUUCCAGCUUUGCUGCGAGUUCUAUUCUACAUUGAAACCAUGGAAUUGCUAUCAUAACAUUCACAUGGGCCGGCCGACGAAGCUCCCGCUUGCUACGCUCGGAUCCCUGCUGAACUCGCUCAUUUAGCAAAAAAAAAAAAAAUCCUGCUUGCCUAAAAGAUGGCUAUCUUUUAUUUGAAUUUUUUUAUUAAAUGAAAAUAUGUUCAUAGAUUUUUAAAAAUCUUGGAUUUUUAAAGAAAAGGCAAACAUGAAGCCUUUACCAAUGAUACACAGCCUUGCAGGCGGCACCCCAUCGACCCUAGAGCCUAACACACCAUGAGGCUCCAAAUCUAGGAAGUUUCUAAAAUGUUCACAAAUUUAAAUAAAUAUCCAUGAAUUAAAUGUGAAAAGAGUUAAAAGAGAGCCCUCGACACACCAUGAACCUCCAAAUCUAGGGAGCAUUAUAUUUUCAUAGAUAGAUGUUACUCUAUAUGUAACAAAAAUGUAAUCCUUGACAUAUGGAAAAUGCAAAAUCCAUAUGCCGUAAUAAAAAUCUACAGUAGGAUUGAAAUCCUACGGGUGCGUUUGGUUUGCAGGAUAGGCUAGGGUGGUUGUGGGUAUCCCCAACCGACCGGCUAGGGAUAGCCUAUUUUUCUGUUUGGUUGUUUUGGUGAGGUUAGCCACUAUUUUGUUUGGUUUCAAGGACGAAAGGUUAUUGGGGAUAGCUAUUGUGAGUGUUUGGUUUGAGUGAUGUAUGGCGGACGAAAUGUUUCAUGAAUUGAAGUAAACUGUGAAACCAUAUUUCUAGAAAACAGAUUAACAACAAACAAUUAGUAAUACACACUUCAAUAUUACAUAGAAGAGCCAGUCCAUAUAGUACAUAGUUCUUCCAUGUACAAUAGAAGAAUUCUUCAAUAAUACAGCUCAAAGUAUACUUCUCCGAUGUGUUUUGAAACGAGCCCCGGAAGAACCAUUGUGUGCACAAAGACUGAAACGAAAUCAGGGGCACAAUGUUCAGAGUUCAGAAAACUAGCACAUGAUUCAAAUAUAAUUGAUUUAUGCACAGCAGCUUCCGCCGGUCGUGCACGCCCUCAGGCGCCUACCCCUCGCCGCCUUGUACGCCUACGACCACGAUCGCGCAGCUUCCGCCGUCGUGCGUGCCCUCAAGCGCCUCCCCCUUCCCCGUCCCAAACAACCUGCGCCGCCGUCGAAUAUGGCACGUCCCCGUCCUGCCCCGCACAACCCCAUAUCGCAGCCCCUGCCACCAGAGAGAGAGAGAGAGAGAGAGAGAGAGAGAGAGAGAGAGAGAGAGAGAGAGCUAUCCAGUAAACCAAACACACCCGUAGUAUCCAAGUUUUUAUGUGAUGGAUAUCCCGCAAGUAAUUAACACUACAUGACCAGCUUUCAGUGAUUCCUCUUCGUUUGUUCUUGAGAGGCCUCUCUUGUCUGUCUUCAGUGAUGCUAAUCAUAGCUUGCAUUGGUGAUUCUUUUGUUAAUGAUUUGGUGGAAAAAAUAAUCCUAGAGGAAAAAAGUUUAAGAUAGUUAUAAGAUUUUCAUUCAUAAAAGCUUAAUAGAGCCUGGAUUGCAAAACAUAAAAUAAAACUGGCACUUCUUUUUUUUUAGACAAGAAGGCUCAGCCGUUGAAAGAGGGAAAGAAGGAUCACUAUGGACCAUGUGUCACUCGGCAGUGCAUCAGCAUUCAGCACUGCGCUGCUAUCAAAUAUGCGUACAAAAGAAUGCAGCUAGAAUGAUUGCCAAAUGUUGGAUAUUAUUUCAGUGCUAAGAAACAAGACUAUGAUCAGAGGCCAUCUGGAUCCUAGCCUGGAGUUAGGAAAAGGGUCUGAAUUUGCAAGCCACAUACUCCGAUGCACUGACAAGCACAAAUUGAAAAUAAACAUAUGUUUGUGCAAACGAAAGAUGACAAAAAGUCCAAAGCAAAUAUGCUUCAGGUUCUCUUCUGUUCUUCAGAAGAAAUAUAACCACGGUGCCCUACACAAUAGUGUUGUUUUAAUUAUUGAGACAGACAAAAUAGCCUCGAGAGUACAGCCAGCACAUAUAUGUAGAUUUAGCAACAGGCAUCGCCAUCAGGGUAAAGGUUCCAACCGACAGCAAACCU
RNAcentral lists this long non-coding RNA (20553 nucleotides) under Triticum aestivum (bread wheat). Its description in RNAcentral is "long non-coding RNA (TAES_LNC013986)". The stretch from base 15137 to 15223 matches the Rfam family "MIR1120/MIR1122 microRNA precursor family". The record is from RNAcentral. Lineage: Eukaryota; Viridiplantae; Streptophyta; Magnoliopsida; Poales; Poaceae.